AGGGAAUCUUCCGCAAUGGACGAAAGUCUGACGGAGCAACGCCGCGUGAGUGAAGAAGGUCUUCGGAUCGUAAAACUCUGUUGUUAGGGAAGAACAAGUGCCGGAGUCACUGCCGGCACCCUGACGGUACCUAACCAGAAAGCCACGGCUAACUACGUGCCAGCAGCCGCGGUAAUACGUAGGUGGCAAGCGUUGUCCGGAAUUAUUGGGCGUAAAGCGCGCGCAGGCGGUCUUUUAAGUCUGAUGUGAAAGCCCACGGCUCAACCGUGGAGGGUCAUUGGAAACUGGGAGACUUGAGUGCAGAAGAGAAGAGCGGAAUUCCACGUGUAGCGGUGAAAUGCGUAGAGAUGUGGAGGAACACCAGUGGCGAAGGCGGCUCUUUGGUCUGUAACUGACGCUGAGGCGCGAAAGCGUGGGGAGCAAAC
Molecule: ribosomal RNA, 425 nt
Filed under: uncultured bacterium
Lineage: Bacteria
Description: bacterial SSU rRNA
Rfam family: Bacterial small subunit ribosomal RNA
Source: RNAcentral